This 429-nucleotide ribosomal RNA is filed under the name Bacillota bacterium. RNAcentral describes it as "Firmicutes bacterium partial 16S ribosomal RNA". It matches the Rfam family "Bacterial small subunit ribosomal RNA", at positions 355 to 776 of the family's 1533-position model. Lineage: Bacteria; Bacillati; Bacillota. The record is from RNAcentral.
UGGGGAAUUUUGGACAAUGGGCGAAAGCCUGAUCCAGCAAUGCCGCGUGUGUGAAGAAGGCCUUCGGGUUGUAAAGCACUUUUGUCCGGAAAGAAAUGGCUCUGGUUAAUACCUGGGGUCGAUGACGGUACCGGAAGAAUAAGGACCGGCUAACUACGUGCCAGCAGCCGCGGUAAUACGUAGGGUCCAAGCGUUAAUCGGAAUUACUGGGCGUAAAGCGUGCGCAGGCGGUUGUGCAAGACCGAUGUGAAAUCCCCGAGCUUAACUUGGGAAUUGCAUUGGGGACGGCACGGCUAGAGUGUGUCAGAGGGGGGUAGAAUUCCACGGGUAGCAGUGAAAGGCGUAGAGAUGUGGAGGAAUACCGAUGGCGAAGGCAGCCCCCUGGGAUAACACUGACGCUCAUGCACGAAAGCGUGGGGGGCAAACAGG